AUUGAACGCUGGCGGCAGGCCUAACACAUGCAAGCCGAGCGGAUGAAGGGAGCUUGCUCCUGGAUUCAGCGGCGGACGGGUGAGUAAUGCCUAGGAAUCUGCCUGGUAGUGGGGGAUAACGUCCGGAAACGGGCGCUAAUACCGCAUACGUCCUGAGGGAGAAAGUGGGGGAUCUUCGGACCUCACGCUAUCAGAUGAGCCUAGGUCGGAUUAGCUAGUUGGUGGGGUAAAGGCCUACCCAGGCGACGAUCCGUAAUUGGUCUGAGAGGAUGCCCAGUCACACUGGAACUGAGACCCGGUCCAGCCUCGUACGGGAGCCGGCAGGGGGGAUUAUUGGUCAAUGGGCGAAAGCCUGAUCCACCCCGCCCGCGUGUGUGCAGAAGUUCUUCGGUUUGGAAAUCUCUUUAGGUUGGGAGGGAGGGCUGUAGGUUAAUACCUUGCUUUUUCGACGUCACCAUCAGAAUCAGCGCCGGCUUACUUC
RNAcentral lists this ribosomal RNA (481 nucleotides) under uncultured bacterium. RNAcentral's name for it is "partial 16S ribosomal RNA". It matches the Rfam family "Bacterial small subunit ribosomal RNA", at positions 30 to 504 of the family's 1533-position model. The record is from RNAcentral.